RNAcentral lists this long non-coding RNA (1388 nucleotides) under Brassica rapa (field mustard). Its description in RNAcentral is "long non-coding RNA (BRAP_LNC000047)". Lineage: Eukaryota; Viridiplantae; Streptophyta; Magnoliopsida; Brassicales; Brassicaceae. The record is from RNAcentral.
UAGAACAUCAUUAAGCAUGACCACUUUUUUUGGGUUACAACCACAGCCGCGAGAAAGAUUUUAAAGGUCUAAGAGCAUUUUCAACACACUUCUAUUUCUACUUCUAUAAUAGUAUUUAUAAGCAAAAUCACUUCGACAUAUUUCUAUUUUUACUUCUAAAAUAGAAAUUACUAUUUUUUUUUCUAUAUAUAGAGAAAAAAAUAGUAUUCUUUUAUAUUUUGUUCUAUAUGAAGAGAUUAGAAAAAUUCAUUGGAAUAAAACUCAUCUCUAUUAUAGAGUUUCUCUAUUCUAUAAAUAAAAAUGGAGGAAUACAUUAAAAAUAGUCUAAAACAAGUUUUAAAAAUAAAUUUAUUUUUAACUAUAUUGAAAAUAAUUUUCUGAUACAAUAUAUCAUCUUCAUCAAAUAUACAAAUUUGAAACUAUACAAGAAUAAAUUUUCAAGUAAAUAUGCUAAAAUUAUAUCAUCUAAGAAAAAAAUAGUUGAUUUCAUAUGAUCAGAUAGUGUAAUUCUCGUAGAAACGGUUUUUCAAAAUAAAUCUAAACCAAUAAAUUAGAAAUUAUUUUAAAUUAGACUCCAAAUAAAAUUAUAUUAAUUACGGGUUUGAACCAAAUGUCUUUUUUAAUACACUGUAAGUACGCUUCUCGUUACAACAUUGCAUCUAUAAUUUCAUUUGAUCUAAGAGUUUUCAUAUAAUAACACAUCAUUUCAAAUAGUAUGUCUACCUUAGUUUACCACUUUUAGAAAAACUGUAUGCAUAAACAAAGUUCUCUGUCAUAAUAAACUUGGGUGUUCCUCAAUAUUUUAGAUUUUCUGUUGUUUUCUUCAAUUAUUUUGUUAUAGUUAAUAAAUAAAUUAAAAGUGUUGCCUGUGACAAGGGGAAUUUAAGUUGAGCAAAUGAAACGUUUACAAGCUUCUAGCAACAACUUUUGGAGGUGGAGAAAAAGCCUGAAACAGCCGACCAGAGGAACUAGAAAAGUCUUUGUAUCUUUUUCUUUUAGAAGAACCUGGACCGAGUGAGACAACGUGAAUCUUGUGAAGAAAACGAAUAAAGUCUAUUAUUAGAGGCUACUACAGCUUGUAAAACCAGUUAACGACCAAGACCGACGGUUGCCUAGCUAUUUUAUCACAAAACAGCAUAAAACUCAGCAGUAUAAUUGAUACUCCCAAAUAACAAAUGAGGUGUUUGCAGACAACAUAUGUGGUUUCAAUUAUCAAACAAAAAUGUGGCAUGUAGAAAACUCUUUACCAAGAACCUUGUCACUUUACUAUUUUGUUAGAAUUGGAGAAAACCAGACGUAAACCAAGAUUACACAUCUAAUGAUCCCAUGAAAAUGGGAAAUAGUUGUUAAAGCGUAUAAUUUUAAUAGUUGGGCCAUUUCGAUAUUCC